This 63-nucleotide small RNA is filed under the name Staphylococcus aureus. RNAcentral describes it as "3'UTR". The record is from RNAcentral. Lineage: Bacteria; Bacillati; Bacillota; Bacilli; Caryophanales; Staphylococcaceae.
UUUCAUAUAAAUCACGUGUUAAAUCUUGUACAUCUGGCCCUAACCAAGGUGUACCUGUAUUAC